This 229-nucleotide ribosomal RNA is filed under the name uncultured bacterium. RNAcentral's name for it is "partial 16S ribosomal RNA". It matches the Rfam family "Bacterial small subunit ribosomal RNA", at positions 15 to 241 of the family's 1533-position model. The record is from RNAcentral.
GAUCAUGGCUCAGGAUGAACGCUAGCGACAGGCUUAACACAUGCAAGUCGAGGGGCAUCAUGAGGUAGCAAUACCUUGAUGGCGACCGGCGCACGGGUGAGUAACGCGUAUGCAACCUGCCUGAUACCGGGGUAUAGCCCAUGGAAACGUGGAUUAACACCCAUAGUACUUUAUCCUGCAUGGGAUGUGUAGUUAAAUGUUUAAGGUAUCGGAUGGGCAUGCGUCUUAG